RNAcentral lists this ribosomal RNA (289 nucleotides) under Campylobacter coli. Its description in RNAcentral is "partial 23S ribosomal RNA". It matches the Rfam family "Bacterial large subunit ribosomal RNA", at positions 1 to 308 of the family's 2925-position model. Lineage: Bacteria; Pseudomonadati; Campylobacterota; Epsilonproteobacteria; Campylobacterales; Campylobacteraceae. RNAcentral also lists the same sequence under 1 other name. The record is from RNAcentral.
AAAGGUAAGCUACUAAGAGCGAAUGGUGGAUGCCUUGACUGGUAAAGGCGAUGAAGGACGUACUAGACUGCGAUAAGCUACGGGGAGCUGUCAAGAAGCUUUGAUCCGUAGAUUUCCGAAUGGGGCAACCCAAUGUAUAGAGAUAUACAUUACCUAUAUAGGAGCGAACGAGGGGAAUUGAAACAUCUUAGUACCCUCAGGAAAAGAAAUCAAUAGAGAUUGCGUCAGUAGCGGCGAGCGAAAGCGCAAGAGGGCAAACCCAGUGCUUGCACUGGGGGUUGUAGGACUG